GUUGUAUGGUUAAGUGACUAAGCGUACACGGUGGAUGCCUGGGCAGUCAGAGGCGAUGAAGGACGUACUAACUUGCGAUAAGCGCAGAUAAGGCAGUAAGAGCCGUUUGAGUCUGCGAUUUCCGAAUGGGGAAACCCAACUGCAUAAGCAGUUACUGUUAACUGAAUACAUAGGUUAACAGAGCAAACCGGGGAACUGAAACAUCUAAGUACCCCGAGGAGAAGAAAUCAACCGAGAUUCCGGUAGUAGCGGCGAGCGAACCUGGAUUAGCCCUUAAGCACUCGGUGAAGUAGGUGAACAAGCUGGAAAGCUUGGCGAUACAGGGUGAUAGCCCCGUAACCGACGCUUCAUCGAGCGUGAAAUCGAGUAGGGCGGGACACGUGAUAUCCUGUCUGAAUAUGGGGGGACCAUCCUCCAAGGCUAAAUACUCCUGACUGACCGAUAGUGAACCAGUACCGUGAGGGAAAGGCGAAAAGAACCCCUGUGAGGGGAGUGAAAUAGAACCUGAAACCGUGUACGUACAAGCAGUAGGAGCACCUUCGUGGUGUGACUGCGUACCUUUUGUAUAAUGGGUCAGCGACUUAUAUUCAGUGGCAAGGUUAACCGUAUAGGGGAGCCGUAGCGAAAGCGAGUCUUAACUGGGCGCUCAGUCUCUGGAUAUAGACCCGAAACCGGGUGAUCUAGCCAUGGGCAGGUUGAAGGUUGAGUAACAUCAACUGGAGGACCGAACCGACUAAUGUUGAAAAAUUAGCGGAUGACUUGUGGCUAGGGGUGAAAGGCCAAUCAAACUCGGAGAUAGCUGGUUCUCCCCGAAAGCUAUUUAGGUAGCGCCUCGGACGAAUACUACUGGGGUAGAGCACUGUUAAGGCUAGGGGUCAUCCCGACUUACCAACCCUUUGCAAACUCCGAAUACCAGUAAGUACUAUCCGGGAGACACACGGCGGGUGCUAACGUCCGUCGUGGAGAGGGAAACAACCCAGACCGCCAGCUAAGGUCCCAAAGUAUUGCUAAGUGGGAAACGAUGUGGGAAGGCUCAGACAGCUAGGAUGUUGGCUUAGAAGCAGCCAUCAUUUAAAGAAAGCGUAAUAGCUCACUAGUCGAGUCGGCCUGCGCGGAAGAUGUAACGGGGCUAAGCAAUACACCGAAGCUGCGGCAAUAUCUUUUAGAUAUUGGGUAGGGAGCGUUCUGUAAGCCGUUGAAGGUGAAUCGUAAGGUUUGCUGGAGGUAUCAGAAGUGCGAAUGCUGACAUGAGUAACGACAAAGGGGGUGAAAAACCUCCUCGCCGGAAGACCAAGGGUUCCUGUCCAACGUUAAUCGGGGCAGGGUGAGUCGACCCCUAAGGUGAGGCCGAAAGGCGUAAUCGAUGGGAAACGGGUUAAUAUUCCCGUACUUCUGACUAUUGCGAUGGGGGGACGGAGAAGGCUAGGUGGGCCAGGCGACGGUUGUCCUGGUUCAAGUGCGUAGGCUUGAGAGUUAGGUAAAUCCGGCUCUCUCUAAGGCUGAGACACGACGUCGAGCUGCUACGGCAGUGAAGUCAUUGAUGCCAUGCUUCCAGGAAAAGCCUCUAAGCUUCAGAUAGUCAGGAAUCGUACCCCAAACCGACACAGGUGGUCGGGUAGAGAAUACCAAGGCGCUUGAGAGAACUCGGGUGAAGGAACUAGGCAAAAUGGUACCGUAACUUCGGGAGAAGGUACGCUCUUGAUGGUGAAGUCCCUCGCGGAUGGAGCUGACGAGAGUCGCAGAUACCAGGUGGCUGCAACUGUUUAUUAAAAACACAGCACUGUGCAAAAUCGCAAGAUGACGUAUACGGUGUGACGCCUGCCCGGUGCCGGAAGGUUAAUUGAUGGGGUUAGCGCAAGCGAAGCUCUUGAUCGAAGCCCCGGUAAACGGCGGCCGUAACUAUAACGGUCCUAAGGUAGCGAAAUUCCUUGUCGGGUAAGUUCCGACCUGCACGAAUGGCGUAAUGAUGGCCACGCUGUCUCCACCCGAGACUCAGUGAAAUUGAAAUCGCUGUGAAGAUGCAGUGUACCCGCGGCUAGACGGAAAGACCCCGUGAACCUUUACUACAGCUUGGCACUGAACAUUGAACCUACAUGUGUAGGAUAGGUGGGAGGCUAUGAAGACGUGACGCUAGUUGCGUUGGAGCCGUCCUUGAAAUACCACCCUUGUAUGUUUGAUGUUCUAACUUAGACCCGUUAUCCGGGUUGAGGACAGUGCCUGGUGGGUAGUUUGACUGGGGCGGUCUCCUCCCAAAGAGUAACGGAGGAGCACGAAGGUGGGCUAAUCACGGUUGGACAUCGUGAGGUUAGUGCAAUGGCAUAAGCCCGCUUAACUGCGAGAAUGACGGUUCGAGCAGGUGCGAAAGCAGGUCAUAGUGAUCCGGUGGUUCUGUAUGGAAGGGCCAUCGCUCAACGGAUAAAAGGUACUCCGGGGAUAACAGGCUGAUACCGCCCAAGAGUUCAUAUCGACGGCGGUGUUUGGCACCUCGAUGUCGGCUCAUCACAUCCUGGGGCUGAAGUCGGUCCCAAGGGUAUGGCUGUUCGCCAUUUAAAGUGGUACGCGAGCUGGGUUUAGAACGUCGUGAGACAGUUCGGUCCCUAUCUGCCGUGGGCGUUGGAAGAUUGAAGGGGGCUGCUCCUAGUACGAGAGGACCGGAGUGGACGAACCUCUGGUGUUCGGGUUGUGUCGCCAGACGCAUUGCCCGGUAGCUAAGUUCGGAAUUGAUAAGCGCUGAAAGCAUCUAAGCGCGAAGCGAGCCCUGAGAUGAGUCUUCCCUGAUACUUUAAGUAUCCUAAAGGGUUGUUCGAGACUAGAACGUUGAUAGGCAGGGUGUGUAAGCGUUGUGAGGCGUUGAGCUAACCUGUACUAAUUGCCCGUGAGGCUUAACCAUACAACACCCAAGGGGUUUUGUA
This 2912-nucleotide ribosomal RNA is filed under the name Vibrio cholerae. RNAcentral's name for it is "bacterial LSU rRNA". It matches the Rfam family "Bacterial large subunit ribosomal RNA". Lineage: Bacteria; Pseudomonadati; Pseudomonadota; Gammaproteobacteria; Vibrionales; Vibrionaceae. The record is from RNAcentral.